Molecule: long non-coding RNA, 312 nt
Filed under: Calidris pygmaea (Spoon-billed sandpiper)
Lineage: Eukaryota; Metazoa; Chordata; Aves; Charadriiformes; Scolopacidae
Description: lncRNA (ENSCPGG00000003254.1)
Source: RNAcentral
CUCAGCACCUCUGCCCUCAAGGCCAAGCUGAGGGGCCGAAACCGCUCAGCUGAGGAGGGGGCAGCAGCAGGGGACAGCAAGGUCACCCCCCACAAGGACCCCCACGUGCAGCGCUCCAAGUCCUGCAAGAUUCCUGGCUUGAGUGGGAAACCCCUGUCGCUGCCCCCCAAGCCGGAGAAGUCCUCGGGGUCCGAAGCCUCACCCCCGCACUGGCUGCAGGCGCUGAAGCUGAAAAAGAAGAAACCUUGAGCGGGGUGAGUGGGGGCGCUGGGGGGGCCCUGGGGACUGACCCCAGACCCCUGGGGCAGGGCG